GCCUUGGCGAAAGAGAUUUCCAGGAGACUCAGCAUGGAUGUCAAAUCUUCCUAUUGGAGGAGAAGCUCCUGACUCCCUUCUAGUCAUGGCAGAGCAUGGAAUUCAGAACAAUUCUACUGGUGAGGACAAGGCCUCUAUUGUAGUCAGAGCCCUCUCAAAGGACAAAGGCAGAUGUGGCUGCCUUGGGUCAGCUGCGCACAGUGCACUCCCGGCCUGCCGGCUGGAGGCGCGGCUCCCAUCCACCUGGACCGCGACUGCUAGGGACUGUCAAAGCGGCAACAUGCCAUCGCCUUCUCCAGCCCUUCUCCAGCAGCACAACCAGUCCUCCCAGCUGGUCCUCUGGGGACCAGCCGUCAUGGCGACGUGGUGGCAAUGUCCCCAGGCAGCCGACCAUCCUGGGCUUCUCUUUGGGCAGGCCUGGGCCAGGACCUUAGGGGAUCUCUGUGUCCAUGGUGUAAAUCUGAAUGAGAUCA
Molecule: non-coding RNA, 473 nt
Filed under: Pongo abelii (Sumatran orangutan)
Lineage: Eukaryota; Metazoa; Chordata; Mammalia; Primates; Hominidae
Source: RNAcentral